Molecule: long non-coding RNA, 257 nt
Filed under: Physcomitrium patens
Lineage: Eukaryota; Viridiplantae; Streptophyta; Bryopsida; Funariales; Funariaceae
Description: long non-coding RNA (PPAT_LNC006213)
Source: RNAcentral
AAAGCAAGGAAUGCUUGGAUGAAGGCGAAGAAUGGAGAUCUUCAUUCCUACUAGUCAAAGGCCAUGCCUAAUGGGCUUCAAGGAGACUGCCUGAGGCCUUAUUAGGGAUUAGGAUUUUUCUUUCGAAAUCAUUCAAGCUUUUGAGGCUAAGAUCAUUAAAUUAAAGUUUUUGAAUACGGAUCAGAUGCAAAUUUUGUGUAAUUUGGAGUUUUUAUUAGGGAGUUAUUAGUUCUCAAAGUUGAGGUGUCAAUUUUGUA